RNAcentral lists this unclassified non-coding RNA (2468 nucleotides) under Zea mays. Its description in RNAcentral is "misc RNA Zm00001eb381140". The record is from RNAcentral. Lineage: Eukaryota; Viridiplantae; Streptophyta; Magnoliopsida; Poales; Poaceae.
AAAAAUCGCGCUGCCGCCCUGGCUCUGCAAUGCGCACGCUUCUUCUUUCUCAUGCGUCUCCAAGCCAUGGAGCUCUUUCCUGCUCCCGUUCUGGCCACGCCCUGGCCCCUGCUCGGACGGUGCUCGGUCCUGCCCCUGCCCCAACGCCAGCCAUCUCCGGUUCCCUCGAAUGGCGCACGCCCGUUCUGCUCGCCGGCGCUCGGAGCUCCCUCUCUGCUCGCUGCGUCCGACCAGAACUCCCUGCGCGCGCGGAUCUCUCCCCCCUCGGCUUCUCCUCCCUCAGCUCGUCUCUCUCUGCCCGCGCGCGUUCUUCCCAUGGCGCCGAGCCUCUUCCGGCCGUGGAGCCCUGCGCAUCGCGGAACUUCUUUCCUGCCCCACCCAUGGCGGUUCCCUGGAUCUCGCCCAGCCCAGCUGCGUCUUCUUCCUCCCGGCGUUCUUCCUGUCCCGCGUGCGCCCUGGAUUUCUCUGCGUGUCCCUUGUCUUCUUCCUCCAGUGGCGUGCACAGGAUCGCGCUCUGCGUUUGCCAUGGACGCGGGCAGAUCUCUCAUGGUUUCUCCCCUGGCGCGCCCAACUCCACCCCAGCGUCCCUCCGACCAUGAUCUCGUCGAGGCUCCUUCCCCGCGCGAGUUCUUUUGCUGGCCGAGCAGCCCGGCCUUCGUCCCCAUGGCGCCCAGUCUUGGUUGCUCCCUGCGCGUUGCUCCAGCUCGCCGGUGCUCCUCCCUCUGGUCAUGCUCCUAGUCGUGAGCUCCUGCUUGGCCACCAUCUCCCAUGCGCCCGUUCGCCACCUCGCCGUGCAGCUCGCCCCGGCUCCUCGCCUCCCCCAUGGCUGAGCGCUCCUCUGCUCGGAUCUCGCCAGGCCACGGCCUCGCCCUGCUGCUCCGCGCGCCCAAGCCCUCUCCUUCCUCCUCUCUUCUCCAGCGUCGCGGUGCUCCAGCUUGUUUCCAUGGCGCGCAGCCGCGCCCCCUGGCCUAGAUCUCCAUGGUGCUCGCCCCUGCACAAGUGAAUCACCCGGGCCCGACAUGGACACCAUGUCCAGUCCCCUGCGUCACGUCUGGGAUUUUGUCGCGUGUCCCUGCGCCAUACGUGUCCCCGGCCCUCGCGCUGGCUUGCCUCGUCGCCGAAUUCCAGAACCCGUGUCGUCGCCCUGCUCGCCCAAGUCACCUAUGGCUGCGCGCGGUGUUGUUGUCGACGCUGUGCUCGUCGGGAUUAGCCUCUGCGCAUUCUUGCUCCCUGUUCGCGCCGUUGCGAGCUCGUCAGCCACCCUUGCCUUGUCAUAGAAACCCCAACGCCGUCAUCCGUGGUCGCGACCUCGCCAAAUGCGUUCGUCGCUUGGCCCUGUGUGGUUUGGCUCGUCGACCUUGUCCACUGUCGUGUGCGCUUGUUCCUAAGGUGCAUCGCGCAGUAGUUGGAUCUCGCGCAUGUGGUUUUGAAGCUCUGCGCGUUCGUCGUGCCGCGUCGUGUGCCGAUAUUCUCUCUCGGCAGACCUCGCCGUCGACCAUGUUCAAGUGAUUGCUCGGCUCCUCGCAUCCCGCCUAUUCGAUAAAACACCUAAAUUCAUAGACUGUCUGCCGUACGUGGCUAUCUCCAUCACUUGCGUCAGCUCGCCAGACCUGCAGCUCUAUAUACGUCACCCUCCCGUAUUGUCGUCGAGCCCAUCGAACCUCGUUCUUCCCUGCCCGAUCUCGUCGAACCCCGAAUCCCGGACGUUAUGCAGAAAUAAGCAAGGUCCCUGUGCAUCGCUUAUCAAGUGCUCGGUCGAAGACUUCAAUCGAAGGUCGUCGUCAUUCGUAAGAAAUCCCAAGAAUCAGGUGAAGCCGAAGCUAGCAGUGUGAUAUUCACCAAGUGCUCGACAAAAGCUCGAACAAGUCGUCGAUUUCGUGGUUUCCAGUCGGAUAAAAUAAGGAAGAUGAGCCAAGUCGACCCCAAGCGCGGGCUAAUCCACAGGAUGAUGCUGAUGGACAAACCUGAAGAUGGAUAAUGGAGCGAGUAUCGGACUAAAGGCUGAUCGUCAAGUGGACAUUGUCUAACAACACUAACCUAGUGUUAUUCAGGUUAUAACUUUGUGCUGCUGAUGAUGGUGUUAAGUGUCGGUGGGCUCGGCCUUCUUAUAAGUCUAAGUAACCCUUCUAUACUUCUUAAUGAGGAUGGUCACUUGAGCUAGCAUAUAUUUCAAACUUAUACUUUUGCAAUCACUCCGAUAAAAUAAUGUAAAAUUUUUGUAACUUGUAAAAUUUGGUAAUAAGAUUUCCGCUGCAAAAAUAUUGGUGUGUGUGAUUUGUGUUACUUAAUCUUGCGGUCCUGGUUGUUCGUGGUUUACCCGGGGUCCUUGGGGCACUCGGACGGAUCCUGUUAAGUUAUCUAGUGCACAUGCGUAGCAGUCUGAGGUCUUUGAGACAAGGAAAGGUGCAUGUGGGCCCAAUAACUUGGGAGGUUCUGCCACAAUAAUAAUACUUAUGCACUCAUACCCC